RNAcentral lists this ribosomal RNA (747 nucleotides) under uncultured Lachnospiraceae bacterium. Its description in RNAcentral is "bacterial SSU rRNA". It matches the Rfam family "Bacterial small subunit ribosomal RNA", at positions 28 to 776 of the family's 1533-position model. Lineage: Bacteria; Bacillati; Bacillota; Clostridia; Lachnospirales; Lachnospiraceae. The record is from RNAcentral.
GAUGAACGCUGGCGGCGUGCUUAACACAUGCAAGUCGAACGAGAAAUAUUUUAUUGAAACUUCGGUCGAUUUAAUUUAUUUCUAGUGGCGGACGGGUGAGUAACGCGUGGGUAACCUGCCUUAUACUGGGGGAUAACAGCCAGAAAUGACUGCUAAUACCGCAUAAGCGCACAGAACCGCAUGGUUCGGUGUGAAAAACUCCGGUGGUAUAAGAUGGACCCGCGUUGGAUUAGCUGGUUGGCAGGGCAGCGGCCUACCAAGGCGACGAUCCAUAGCCGGCCUGAGAGGGUGAACGGCCACAUUGGGACUGAGACACGGCCCAGACUCCUACGGGAGGCAGCAGUGGGGAAUAUUGCACAAUGGGGGAAACCCUGAUGCAGCGACGCCGCGUGAAGGAAGAAGUAUCUCGGUAUGUAAACUUCUAUCAGCAGGGAAGAUAAUGACGGUACCUGACUAAGAAGCCCCGGCUAACUACGUGCCAGCAGCCGCGGUAAUACGUAGGGGGCAAGCGUUAUCCGGAUUUACUGGGUGUAAAGGGAGCGUAGACGGCGCAGCAAGUCUGAUGUGAAAGGCAGGGGCUUAACCCCUGGACUGCAUUGGAAACUGCUGUGCUUGAGUGCCGGAGGGGUAAGCGGAAUUCCUAGUGUAGCGGUGAAAUGCGUAGAUAUUAGGAGGAACACCAGUGGCGAAGGCGGCUUACUGGACGGUAACUGACGUUGAGGCUCGAAAGCGUGGGGAGCAAACAGG